Lagenorhynchus albirostris (white-beaked dolphin) is the source of this 1667-nucleotide long non-coding RNA. RefSeq lists it as uncharacterized. The transcript has 3 exons. The record is from RefSeq and is a predicted model, not a curated record. Lineage: Eukaryota; Metazoa; Chordata; Mammalia; Artiodactyla; Delphinidae.
GUGAGGGUGAAGGCAGAGAUCGGGGUGACGCUUCUACAAGCCAAGGGAUGCCAAGGCUGCCAGCAAACCACCAGAAGCUGGGGGAGAGGCAAGGAGCAGAUUCUCCCUCACAGCCCUCAGAAGGAUCCAGUCCUGCCGCCACCUUGAUCUCGGACUUCUGGCCUCCAGAACUAUGAGCAAAACCAAGAUUACGAAGUGACUUUCCGGAGGUUACCUGGGUGCGGUGGACCUUGUUGACUGGUACUUAUUUCUCUGCACCUCUUAAAUGCCGAUCCCCAAUACAGCCCAGUCCUGAGCCCUCAGCCCUUCAGGAGUUCAUCCAUUCAUGCAUCUUUGAGGCACACAAUGUUCUAAGCACAGGGUCCCAGCAGAGAGACAAACAAAUAUACAAACAAACAGAGACAACCCCCUCUCUACCUCCACCCACCAUGGGGAACAGACAGUAAACAAGUUUCCUCUCCAGGCCUCUCUCCUCCUACUGCCAUCUGCAGGAAAGGUGUGGCAAAUACACCCCCUGCCUCGGGGACACACUGUGCGGCGGGCAGGUCUCUUCCCACACGUGAAUAAUGAGGUGGGGUAGGAUCAACUGAUAUCUUGGAUCCUAGAAUUUCCAUGGACUUGGCAGGGAUGCUGAAGGCUUGGUGGGACGUAAAAGGGACACGUUCCUCAAACUGCAACAUUGGACCAAGCCUCCCUUUCUGAGGUCCAAGCCAGAGCAACAGAGGUCCUGGGGGAUGGGAGGGAAGGGCAGACUGGCCAGAUUCCACGUUUGGGACCCAUACAGGGCUUGAAGCGGGCUGGAUGCCCAGAAGACAGAAGCUAUGUAUCUGAGGUUGGGAUCUUAUGUGAUUCUCUCACCGUGUGCCUCUGCUGAAUGGAGCUGCGCACCUAGUCCCCUAUUCAGGUCAAAUGGCACCCUUUGCUCUGCCGUGUUCGUGCCUGUGUGUGUGCAUGUGUGUAGGAGCGUGGAAAAAGGAGGAGAAAAGCCGCAUCCUCGGCGGGCCCACCUGACACCACGCAUAGCAGCCUUCGACAGGGCAAGAUGAAGGAGAAGAAGCUGUUACAGCCCAACUGUCUCUUGGUUUCCCCACUUCCACAUGAAGGAAGGGUGACCGAAGGGCUCUCCCUGGGUGUGCCUGUCCCUCACUUGGUGAGCCAGCGAGAUCAGUGGGUUCAUCAGUUCUGGGGUGGGGAGUCUUCCUUUGCUCUUCUGUGCCCCUGGGGUGGGGUGGGCUCCAACAGCCUCUCAGUUCUGAGGGGUGACUAAAUCCCUAUCCUGCCGUGUGACCUUGUGCGAGUCACUUGACUUCUCUGAGCUGGCUUCCUCAUCUAGCUCACGAGGCUAAUAGUACAAACUCACAGGGUUGUUGAGAGGAUCAAAUGGUACAUAACCAGUACUUAGACUCUUAUUGUUAGCUCUGGGUUUCCAGCCUGGUCGGCGCCUGGCACCAUCGCUGGCCCUCUUCACUCCUACGUGGAAAGCCAGCAACCUCAGAUCAUCCCUGGGCUCUAUAACCAUGCUCUCUACCAUCGUAGCCACUAGCCACCCACAGCUAUUCAGCAUUUGAAAUGAUAUUUUGCCUGAAUCAAGAUGUGCUGUAUUUUAUUAUUAUUUUACAUUAAAUUUCAAAGACAAUAUGAAAAUGUAAAUAUAUCAUUAAUGAUUU